GAGAAAUGAGGAUAUAUGUUUUUGUCUUAGUCUCAUGGUGAAGACUUCAGAUCCAACUCUGAUCUUACUCUAUAG
Molecule: small nucleolar RNA, 75 nt
Filed under: Laticauda laticaudata (blue-ringed sea krait)
Lineage: Eukaryota; Metazoa; Chordata; Lepidosauria; Squamata; Elapidae
Description: Small nucleolar RNA SNORD19 (ENSLLTG00000012645.1)
Rfam family: Small nucleolar RNA SNORD19
About the family: Homo sapiens C/D box snoRNA HBII-108: This snoRNA is the human orthologue of the mouse MBII-108 and is predicted to guide 2'O-ribose methylation of the small 18S rRNA on position G683. snoRNA HBII-108 is encoded in a nucleostemin (NS) gene intron like the HBII-210
Source: Rfam by way of RNAcentral